UAGCUGGUAGCUUGCAGGUUGAGGGUG
RNAcentral lists this unclassified non-coding RNA (27 nucleotides) under Mus musculus (house mouse). RNAcentral's name for it is "oocyte_clustered_small_RNA12895". The record is from RNAcentral. Lineage: Eukaryota; Metazoa; Chordata; Mammalia; Rodentia; Muridae.